Molecule: transfer RNA, 68 nt
Filed under: Cazira horvathi
Lineage: Eukaryota; Metazoa; Arthropoda; Insecta; Hemiptera; Pentatomidae
Description: tRNA-Ile
Source: RNAcentral
AAUAAGAUGCCUGAAUAAUAGGACUAUUUUGAUAGAAUAGAAUAUGUAAAAUAUAAUUACUCUUAUUA